GUCAUCUUGAAAUCAUUGUUCAAAUUUGGUCAUUUAGAAUUAGUACCAUUUAUUGUUUAGAAAGUAAAUGCUGGGAUGCAGGUAAGCAUUGAAAAGAUUAUCACUUAUUUGUGUCAAAUUAAUUGGGUAUUGGUGUUAUUAUACAUGACUUCAAAUUUCAUCAUCUUUUCUGGCCUUUGUAUGAAACAGGUUUGCCUAGCUCUCUGAAGUAGUAUCAUAUAGUUUGAGUUCAUGAGUUUGAUAUACUUCUCCUCUUGCAUGAUUAAGUUUUCAUGUUUUUUCUUAAUAUUAUAUUGACUGAUCUAUAGAGCAUAUUGAUCCUGGAUUUCUUUCCUGUGUCAAUUCAAUCUGACGCAGAUGUUCCCAUGCAUUAAUUUUUGCAAAUUUUUAGCUUUGUAUCAUUUCAAAUUAUAACUGUUAUUUCUGCUGGUUACAUUUGAUACACAGAGACGAAAUUGGAUAU
RNAcentral lists this unclassified non-coding RNA (463 nucleotides) under Hevea brasiliensis (rubber tree). The record is from RNAcentral. Lineage: Eukaryota; Viridiplantae; Streptophyta; Magnoliopsida; Malpighiales; Euphorbiaceae.